UGCAGCGACGCCGCGUGGGGGAUGACGGCCUAUCGGGUUGUAAACCUCUUUCAGCACAGACGAAGCGCAAGUGACGGUAUGUGCAGAAGAAGCACCGGCCAACUACGUGCCAGCAGCCGCGGUAAUACGUAGGGUGCGAGCGUUGUCCGGAAUUACUGGGCGUAAAGAGCUUGUAGGUGGUUUGUCGCGUUGUUCGUGAAAUCUCACGGCUCAACUGUGAGCGUGCGGGCGAUACGGGCAGACUAGAGUACUGCAGGGGAGACUGGAAUUCCUGGUGUAGCGGUGGAAUGCGCAGAUAUCAGGAGGAACACCGGUGGCGAAGGCGGGUCUCUGGGCAGUAACUGACGCUGAGAAGCGAAAGCGUGGGGAGCGAACAGGAUUAGAUACCCUGGUAGUCCACGCCGUAAACGGUGGGUACUAGGUGUGGGUUUCCUUCCUUGGGAUCCGUGCCGUAGCUAACGCAUUAAGUACCCCGCCUGGGGAGUACGGCCGCAAGGCUAAAACUCAAAGAAAUUGACGGGGGCCCGCACAAGCGGCGGAGCAUGUGGAUUAAUUCGAUGCAACGCGAAGAACCUUACCUGGGCUUGACAUGCACUAGAAAGCCGUAGAGAUACGGCCCCCCUUGUG
RNAcentral lists this ribosomal RNA (627 nucleotides) under Mycobacterium sp. So1Ps_496. Its description in RNAcentral is "bacterial SSU rRNA". It matches the Rfam family "Bacterial small subunit ribosomal RNA", at positions 387 to 1022 of the family's 1533-position model. The record is from RNAcentral. Lineage: Bacteria; Bacillati; Actinomycetota; Actinomycetes; Mycobacteriales; Mycobacteriaceae.